GAUGAACGCUGGCGGCGUGCCUAAUACAUGCAAGUCGAGCGAACAGACGAGGAGCUUGCUCCUCUGACGUUAGCGGCGGACGGGUGAGUAACACGUGGAUAACCUACCUAUAAGACUGGGAUAACUUCGGGAAACCGGAGCUAAUACCGGAUAAUAUAUUGAACCGCAUGGUUCAAUAGUGAAAGACGGUUUUGCUGUCACUUAUAGAUGGAUCCGCGCCGCAUUAGCUAGUUGGUAAGGUAACGGCUUACCAAGGCAACGAUGCGUAGCCGACCUGAGAGGGUGAUCGGCAACACUGGAACUGAGACACGGUCCAGACUCCUACGGGAGGCAGCAGUAGGGAAUCUUCCGCAAUGGGCGAAAGCCGGACGGAGCAACGCCGCGUGAGGGAUGAAGGUCUUCGGAUCGUAAAACUCUGUUAUUAGGGAAGAAAAAAUGUGUAAGUAACUAGGCACGUCUUGACGGUACCUAAUCAGAAAGCCACGGCUAACUACGU
Molecule: ribosomal RNA, 496 nt
Filed under: uncultured bacterium
Lineage: Bacteria
Description: partial 16S ribosomal RNA
Rfam family: Bacterial small subunit ribosomal RNA
Source: RNAcentral